Molecule: ribosomal RNA, 492 nt
Filed under: uncultured bacterium
Lineage: Bacteria
Description: partial 16S ribosomal RNA
Rfam family: Bacterial small subunit ribosomal RNA
Source: RNAcentral
AGUGAACGCUGGCGGUAGGCCUAACACAUGCCAGUCGAACGGCAGCACAGUAAGAGCUUGCUCUUACGAGUGGCGAGUGGCGGACGGGUGAGGAAUACAUCGGAAUCUACUUUUUCGUGGGGGAUAACGUAGGGAAACUUACGCUAAUACCGCAUACGACCUACGGGUGAAAGCAGGGGAUCUUCGGACCUUGCGCGAUUGAAUGAGCCGAUGUCGGAUUAGCUAGUUGGCGGGGUAAAGGCCCACCAAGGCGACGAUCCGUAGCUGGUCCGAGAGGAUGAUCAGCCACACUGGAACUGAGACACGGUCCAGACUCCUACGGGAGGCAGCAGUGGGGAAUAUUAGGCAAUGGGCGCAAGCCUGAUCCAGCCAUACCGCGUGGGUGAAGAAGGCCUUCGGGUUGUAAAGCCCUUUUGUUGGGAAAGAAAAGCAGCAGGUUAAUACCCCGCUGUUCUGACGGUACCCAAAGAAUAAGCACCGGCUAACUUCGUG